UUGCGGCCAAAUCACCUUGUAACACCGGUUCCCAUACGAACAUCAAAGUUAAGUAACACCGAAGCCUGGUCAUUACCUCGAUGGGUGACCGUUUGGGAAUACCAGGUGCUGUAAG
This is a non-coding RNA of Acanthosepion pharaonis, 115 nucleotides long. The record is from the annotation of a GenBank genome assembly. Lineage: Eukaryota; Metazoa; Mollusca; Cephalopoda; Sepiida; Sepiidae.